This 442-nucleotide ribosomal RNA is filed under the name uncultured bacterium. Its description in RNAcentral is "partial 16S ribosomal RNA". It matches the Rfam family "Bacterial small subunit ribosomal RNA", at positions 338 to 795 of the family's 1533-position model. The record is from RNAcentral.
CCUACGGGAGGCAGCAGUAGGGAAUCUUUCACAAUGGGCGAAAGCCUGAUGGAGCAACGCCGCGUGCAGGAUGAAGGCCUUCGGGUUGUAAACUGCUUUUAUAAGCGAGAAAUAUGAUGGUAACUUAUGAAUAAGGAUCGGCUAACUACGUGCCAGCAGCCGCGGUCAUACGUAGGAUCCGAGCAUUAUCCGGAGUGACUGGGUGUAAAGAGUUGCGUAGGUGGCAUAAUAAGUAGCUAGUGAAAUCUGGUGGCUCAACCAUUCAGACUAUUAGCUAAACUGUUAAGCUCGAGACCGGUAGGGGUAACGGGAAUGUCUAGUGUAGGAGUGAAAUCCGUAGAUAUUAGAAGGAACACCAAUAGCGUAGGCAGGUUGCUGGGACGGUUCUGACACUAAGGCACGAAAGCGUAGGGAGCAAACGGGAUUAGAUACCCGAGUAGUC